AUGAACGCUAGCGGCAGGCUUAAUACAUGCAAGUCGAGGGGCAGCAUGAAGUAGCAAUACUUUGAUGGCGACCGGCAAACGGGUGCGGAACACGUACACAACCUUCCUUUAAGUGGGGAAUAGCCCAGAGAAAUUUGGAUUAAUACCCCGUAACAUUGCGAUGUGGCAUCACAUUGCAAUUAUAGCUUCGGCGCUUAACGAUGGGUGUGCGUAUGAUUAGAUAGUUGGCGAGGUAACGGCUCACCAAGUCUACGAUCAUUAGCUGAUGUGAGAGCAUGAUCAGCCACACGGGCACUGAGACACGGGCCCGACUCCUACGGGAGGCAGCAGUAAGGAAUAUUGGUCAAUGGACGCAAGUCUGAACCAGCCAUGCCGCGUGAAGGAUUAAGGUCCUCUGGAUUGUAAACUUCUUUUAUAUGGGACGAAAAAAGGUCUUUCUAGACCCCUUGACGGUACCAUAUGAAUAAGCACCGGCUAACUCCGUGCCAGCAGCCGCGGUAAUACGGAGGGUGCAAGCGUUAUCCGGAUUCACUGGGUUUAAAGGGUGCGUAGGCGGGUAGGUAAGUCAGUGGUGAAAUCCUGGAGCUUAACUCCAGAACUGCCAUUGAUACUAUCUAUCUUGAAUAUUGUGGAGGUAAGCGGAAUAUGUCAUGUAGCGGUGAAAUGCUUAGAUAUGACAUAGAACACCCAUUGCGAAGGCAGCUUACUACGCAUAUAUUGACGCUGAGGCACGAAAGCGUGGGGAUCAAACAGGAUUAGAUACCCUGGUAGUCCACGCCCUAAACGAUGGAUACUCGACAUACGCGAUACACUGUGUGUGUCUGAGCGAAAGCAUUAAGUAUCCCACCUGGGAAGUACGUUCGCAAGAAUGAAACUCAAAGGAAUUG
Molecule: ribosomal RNA, 887 nt
Filed under: uncultured Sediminibacterium sp.
Lineage: Bacteria; Pseudomonadati; Bacteroidota; Chitinophagia; Chitinophagales; Chitinophagaceae
Description: bacterial SSU rRNA
Rfam family: Bacterial small subunit ribosomal RNA
Source: RNAcentral